Molecule: ribosomal RNA, 253 nt
Filed under: uncultured bacterium
Lineage: Bacteria
Description: partial 16S ribosomal RNA
Rfam family: Bacterial small subunit ribosomal RNA
Source: RNAcentral
AACGUAGGUGGCAAGCGUUAUCCGGAAUUACUGGGCGUAAAGGGUGUGCAGGCGGGGGAACAAGUGGGGUAUGAAAUCUCCCAGCUUAACUGGGAUAGGUUAUGCCAGACUGUUCUUCUAGAGGACGAGAGAGGGAUGCGGAAUUCCAGGUGUAGCGGUGAAAUGCGUAGAUAUCGGAAGGAACACCAGUGGCGAAGGCGACUCUUUGGCCUGUAACUGACGCUGAGGCGCGAAAGCGUGGGGAGCAAACAGG